Molecule: ribosomal RNA, 700 nt
Filed under: uncultured bacterium
Lineage: Bacteria
Description: bacterial SSU rRNA
Rfam family: Bacterial small subunit ribosomal RNA
Source: RNAcentral
AGAGUUUGAUCCUGGCUCAGGACGAACGCUGGCGGCGUGCCUAACACAUGCAAGUCGUACGGGACCUGGGGGCAACUCCAGGUUCAGUGGCAGACGGGUGCGUAACACGUGAGGAACUUGUCCGGUGGCGGGGGAUAGCCGGCCCAACGGCCGGGUAAUACCGCAUACGCUCGUUCGGGGGCAUCCCUGGGCGAGGAAAGCAGCCGCAAGGUUGCGCCGACGGAGGGCCUCGCGGCCUAUCAGCUAGUUGGCGGGGUAACGGCCCACCAAGGCGACGACGGGUAGCUGGUCUGAGAGGAUGAUCAGCCACAUUGGGACUGAGACACGGCCCAGACUCCUACGGGAGGCAGCAGUGGGGAAUAUUGCGCAAUGGCCGCAAGGCUGACGCAGCGACGCCGCGUGUGGGAUGACGGUCUUCGGAUUGUAAACCACUGUCGGGAGGAACGAAUGCGGGACGUCGAAUAGGCGAUCUCGAGUGACGGUACCUCCAAAGGAAGCACCGGCUAACUCCGUGCCAGCAGCCGCGGUAAUACGUAGGGGGCGAGCGUUGUUCGGAUUUACUGGGCGUAAAGAGCGCGUAGGUGGUUCGAUUAGUCGGAGGUGAAAUCCCUCGGCUCAACCGAGGACCCGCGUCCGAUACUGUCGAACUUGAGUGCAGGAGAGGAGAGCGGAAUUCCCAGUGUAGCGGUGAAAUGCGUAG